Molecule: long non-coding RNA, 641 nt
Organism: Mytilus trossulus (common blue mussel)
Lineage: Eukaryota; Metazoa; Mollusca; Bivalvia; Mytilida; Mytilidae
Exons: 3
Source: RefSeq, a predicted model, not a curated record
AGUCUAUGUCCAUUCCCAGCAGAAGAAAUUCAACAAGAAGUAACCAAAUAUCCUAAUGCUACAGAUUUCCUUUGGAGUCAGGAAGAACACAGGAAUAUGGGAGCAUGGACAUUUGUCUCUCCAAGGUUCAACAAUUUAGUUGGAUGCCAGUUACGAUAUGUUGGAAGAGAUCAUUAAGUUCUCCUGCUACAGGUAUUGGUGAAGUACAUAGACAAGAAACUAUACAAAUCAUUGAGGAUACAUAUAGUUAAGAACAAUACUCAUGUGUAAAGAUUAUGUUCAGCAUUAAUGUAUAUCUGGGAUAACAUGUGUGUGUGUGCAAGUUUUUUAAUUGACCAUUGUACUAAAAUUACCGGUGUAUACACUACAUCACAAGUCUUAAAAAGGCAGAGCUAAAAUUUUACCAGAUAUUGAUAUUAUUUUUAAUUCAGUGAUACAAUUCAUAAUUUAAAAAUAUCAUACUUUAGGCCGCGAGAAUUUGCUACUGGAUGUUAAGAUAUCUAUCAAUCCGAAUUCAUGCAGUCCAACUUAGUCUCUAUGUUUAAUGAUAAAUCAAAAUGAACCCAUAAAUGCCUUGAAUAUUUAUUAUUUUGUUUAGGCCUUCUAAGUUUAAAGCCAGUAUAUAUUUUAAAACUCUCAUC